RNAcentral lists this ribosomal RNA (598 nucleotides) under uncultured bacterium. RNAcentral describes it as "bacterial SSU rRNA". It matches the Rfam family "Bacterial small subunit ribosomal RNA", at positions 213 to 803 of the family's 1533-position model. The record is from RNAcentral.
UGUCGCUGAUGGAUGGACCCGCGGUGCAUUAGCUAGUUGGUGAGGUAACGGCUCACCAAGGCGACGAUGCAUAGCCGACCUGAGAGGGUGAUCGGCCACAUUGGGACUGAGACACGGCCCAAACUCCUACGGGAGGCAGCAGUAGGGAAUCUUCGGCAAUGGACGAAAGUCUGACCGAGCAACGCCGCGUGAGUGAAGAAGGUUUUCGGAUCGUAAAACUCUGUUGUUAGAGAAGAACAAGGAUGAGAGUAACUGUUCAUCCCUUGACGGUAUCUAACCAGAAAGCCACGGCUAACUACGUGCCAGCAGCCGCGGUAAUACGUAGGUGGCAAGCGUUGUCCGGAUUUAUUGGGCGUAAAGCGAGCGCAGGCGGUUUCUUAAGUCUGAUGUGAAAGCCCCCGGCUCAACCGGGGAGGGUCAUUGGAAACUGGGAGACCUGAGUGCAGAAGAGGAGAGUGGAAUUCCAUGUGUAGCGGUGAAAUGCGUAGAUAUAUGGAGGAACACCAGUGGCGAAGGCGGCUCUCUGGUCUGUAACUGACGCUGAGGCUCGAAAGCGUGGGGAGCAAACAGGAUUAGAUACCCUGGUAGUCCACGCCGU